CUUGUUCCUCACUAUGCUUUCAGUAAACGACAUGAAGUUCGCCAUUAUAUUGAUUUUAUUCGGAUUGAUUGGUGAUUAUAUCAGGACCGAUGCUCGGCUUCGCCCGAAACGGCUAAGGCAUAAACACAAAUUGAAUGAUUUCAUCAAUUCCGAAUGCCGCUUCUUUUGCCGCAAGCCGCAGCCUCCGUACAAACCGUUCUGUGCCAGCAACUUUCGCAAUUAUCUCAGCAAGUGUCUGAUGGAUUGUGACAGCAGACACAGUGUCGUGCUCUUCAAGACCCACAACGGUCCAUGUUAGGUUAAAAAACGUUUGUGUGUACCUAAUAAACAUCUACAUAUGUGC
Cydia pomonella (codling moth) is the source of this 343-nucleotide long non-coding RNA. RefSeq lists it as uncharacterized. The record is from RefSeq and is a predicted model, not a curated record. NCBI's taxonomy places the organism in Eukaryota, Metazoa, Arthropoda, Insecta, Lepidoptera, Tortricidae. The transcript has 2 exons.